GAUGAAGAACGCAGCGAAAUGCGAUACGUAAUGUGAAUUGUAGAAUUCAGUGAAUCAUCGAAUCUUUGAACGCAUAUUGCGCUCUCUGGUAUUCCGGAGAGCAUGCUUGUUUGAGUAUCAGUAAACACCUCAACUCCCCUUUCUUUUUUUGAAAUGGGAGCUGGACUUGAGUGAUCCCAACGCUUUUCUCACCGAAAAGUGGCGGGUUACUUGAAAUGCAGGUGCAGCUGGACUUUUCUCUGAGCUAAAAGCAUAUCUAUUUAGUCUGCCUAAAAAACAGAUUAUUACCUUUGCUGCAGCUAACAUAAAGGAGAUUAGUUCUUGUGCUGACUGAUGCAGGAUUCACAGAGACAGCUUCGGCUGGCCUUUGUAAACUCGAUCUCAAAUCAAGUAAGACUACCCGCUGAACUUAAGCAUAUCAAUAAGCGGAGGA
This 433-nucleotide unclassified non-coding RNA is filed under the name soil metagenome. RNAcentral describes it as "partial contains 5.8S ribosomal RNA, internal transcribed spacer 2, and large subunit ribosomal RNA". The stretch from base 1 to 120 matches the Rfam family "5.8S ribosomal RNA", at positions 35 to 154 of the family's 154-position model. The record is from RNAcentral.